Molecule: ribosomal RNA, 279 nt
Filed under: uncultured bacterium
Lineage: Bacteria
Description: partial 16S ribosomal RNA
Rfam family: Bacterial small subunit ribosomal RNA
Source: RNAcentral
UGCCAGCAGCCGCGGUAAUACGGAGGGUCCAAGCGUUAUCCGGAUUCAUUGGGUUUAAAGGGUGCGUAGGCGGAAUAAUAAGUCAGUGGUGAAAGCCUGCAGCUUAACUGUAGAACUGCCAUUGAAACUGUUAUUCUUGAAUUUAGUUGAAGUAGGCGGAAUGCGGCAUGUAGCGGUGAAAUGCUUAGAUAUGCCGCAGAACACCGAUCGCGAAGGCAGCUUACUAAGCUAAUAUUGACGCUAAGGCACGAAAGCGUGGGGAGCGAACAGGAUUAGAUA